RNAcentral lists this transfer RNA (73 nucleotides) under Bifidobacteriaceae bacterium. RNAcentral describes it as "tRNA-Arg". It matches the Rfam family "tRNA". Rfam says of the family: Transfer RNA (tRNA) molecules are approximately 80 nucleotides in length. Lineage: Bacteria; Bacillati; Actinomycetota; Actinomycetes; Bifidobacteriales; Bifidobacteriaceae. The record is from RNAcentral.
GCCCCCGUAGCUCAGUGGAUAGAGCAUCUGCCUUCUAAGCAGCCGGUCGAAGGUUCGAAUCCUUUCGGGGGCG